UCUCCGUAGGUGAACCUGCGGAGGGAUCAUUACUGAGUGAGGGUUUAACCGCCCGACCUCCAACCCUUUGUGAAUCGUACUCGUUGCUUCGGGGGCGACCCUGCCCUCUGGGCGUCGGGGCCCCCGGUGGCUCACACCUCAACUCUUGCAUCUGUGCGUCUGAGUAACAUAUUGAAUCAAUCAAAACUUUCAACAACGGAUCUCUUGGUUCUGGCAUCGAUGAAGAACGCGC
Molecule: unclassified non-coding RNA, 232 nt
Filed under: uncultured fungus
Lineage: Eukaryota; Fungi
Description: sequence contains ITS1, 5.8S rRNA gene
Rfam family: 5.8S ribosomal RNA (bases 185-232)
Source: RNAcentral